CCCGUCCUUCCGUAGAAAAGGCUUGCGUCAGUAUUUCCUGCUUUACCUCCUGUGUGAGGCUGCCUGGCCUUGUCCCUUCUUCCUCAGUUCACAGAAAGGACGGCAGAGACCAAGAGUUGGCAAACUUUUCCCAAGAGCUACAUCGUAAACAGCUUCCAAAGCAGGACACACCGUCAGCUCUGUAGUUGGCCAUUGCAGCACGAAAGCAGCUACGGACAAUGUGGAAACAAAUGGGCCUGGCCCAAUAAAACUUUAUUUAUGAACACUAAAAUUGGCAUUUCAUAUAAUUUUCAUAUGUUGCAAAAUAUUAUUAUCGUAUUGGCUUUUCCCCAAACAUGUAAAAAUGUAAAACCAUUCUUGGCUUGCAGGUUGCGUGAGAACAGGAGGCAGGCCAGCUCCGGUCUGAAGCUGUGGUUUGCCCACCCCUGGCACAGACCCAUGAGGCCUUCCUAGAGCCGCCGUGCCCGUCCUGGCUGAUGGGACCUCCUACCUCAGGGGCUCUGAGUCCAGCUGCCAGGAAGCUCAUCUUAGUGACCCCACAGCCCCUGCUCACCCACCUGGUGUCACUGGGGCUGAGAGUGAAACCUGCAGGCAUAACUGGCCCUGAUGGAUACACAGUAAGCGUAGAUGUGUUUGGGAUGAGGAAGAUGGGGGGUCCACAGCAAUGACCCCCCGUACUCCCUUCUGUCCUGGGAGGAGGUUCCUGGUGCUGGAAGACAGGAAGGCACAGGCUGGGAAUAUCCAGAACCUGGUGAAGGCCACCCAUCUGCAGAGGAGGGUCUGGGGCAGGUCCUUCGGAGGCUCCUCUUCCCUCUGUACCCUCCACCAUGUGCUGCUGCCAGGGUCCCCUCCCAAAGGGCAAAAGCCUUCCAGGUCAUAGACUCUGCUGCCCUGUCUAGAAAUUCCCACCUCAGCCUCUUCUCUUCCACCUUCCCUGCACCCCAGUCACACGAAUCCCACCAAAGCCUUGACCUCCGGGCCCCCAGCUUCCAUCCCACCUCUGGGUGCCUGGUUUCCCUCUGAUCCAUUUUUUGCUUCAGAAAGUCAGAGUUGUUUUCUGCUGCCUGCCACCCAGAAGGCUGAACAGCUGUAGGAAGCUCUCAGAAGUGGAGCACUAUUUACCUUUAACAUUCUGCCCUUGACAUUGGGGCCUAAGGCAUCUCCUGGGCAUGAUAAAGUUUUUUUGUUUUUUUUUUUUUGAGAUGGAGUCUUGUAAUCUCCUCUUUCUGGGCUCAAGCGAUUCUCCUGCCUCAGCCUCCUGAGUAGCUGGGACUACAGGCAUGCACCACCACGCCCAGCUAAUUUUUGUAUUUUUAGUAGAGACAGGAUUUCACCAAGUUGCCCAGGCUGGUCUCAAACUCCUGACCUCAGGUGAUCCGCCCGCCUCGGCCUCCCAAAGUGCUGGGAGUAGAGAUGUGAGCCACCGCACCCGGCCAGUGAUAAAGUUCUGAGGAGUUGACACACUUCCCCAAAUUCAGGGCCGCCUGCUGAGCUCUCCUGAUACUUCUACCCCUAAUGCAACAUUUAAGGCCAGGGCUGGGGUUUGGGAGACAGAGCUGGGCCCCAGCCUUCCUCUGUGAUGAGGGGUAAGCAGUCCGGGGAGGCCCAGGCAGUGCCCAGGCAGGCAGUUGGCCCCCUUCAAGGGUGGGCCUUGGGAGGAUGGGGGUGACGAGGCAACCUCGCUGCAGGCACAGCGCCUCCUGCCUUCUGUAAAAUCUUAAUUCUGCACCCGCCUCCCACUCUCAGAUGUGCUCCUCGACUUCGCCCUCGACUUCGCCCUCUUACCGUAGGCAGGAUGAUCCUUGGCGGGUCUGGGGCCAGCGGGGAUGGGGAGGCAGUGGGUAGGAUGCCCGUGGGGGGCAGCUCUGGGGGCAGGGCUGACCCGAGGGCUCCUCUGCUUGGCCCGCUCCAGGCCUGGGCCCGAGAGAGCUCGUCCAGGAGGUGUUGUUCCUGCAAGGCCGAUGCAGAGCUGCUGCACACGGGGAGGGGGAGCCCCAACGCCACAGAGGCACCCCCAGCGUCAGGCUCAGGCCAGCCUGGGCCAGGUACAGGCGCCUCUCCCGGCAGGAUGGCCAUGACUGGAAGACCCUUCCAGGGGUAUGUGCAUGAGGGUGGCCUCCUGAAAUUGACCCAAGCGUGUCAGCUAGUUUCCAGUUGUUUUCUUUUCCCAGCCCCAGGGUCUGUUCUCUCUUUCAAGCCAGUUCCAGGCCUACUUUUUUCUAGGUCUCCCCCUAGAAAAGCGGCCCCA
Molecule: long non-coding RNA, 2248 nt
Filed under: Pan troglodytes (chimpanzee)
Lineage: Eukaryota; Metazoa; Chordata; Mammalia; Primates; Hominidae
Description: long non-coding RNA NONPTRT009429
Source: RNAcentral